CAAGCAUCCAGUUCUCUUGUUAAAAACACAAACGGUCAUAUGAGACCUAACCUAAGCUUCCACCACAUAUGAUGUACUAACUUGAUUCAUUCAAAUCAUACCUCGGUAAUGAAGACACAAAAUACAGCACACAAAACAUCCCACAUUUUUAGGCUUUGGAGAGGAUUGACAUAUGCAGCCUUACCCCUGCUUUGCAUUACACCAAUACAGCUAAAUUUACUCUACUCAAGAUGUUGGUGCUAUUAGCAAGAACAAUGUUUUCUGGAUGCUGUAAAUAAACCCAGAAAGGAAACAGAUAUCGUCACUUCAGGACCAAAUGCCAGUAGCACAGAAUGCCAUCAGCUUAAAGUUUACAUGAUUUAGAAACAGAGGAGAUCAAAGCUAUUACAAGCCCUAACAAAAAUAAUGUAAAUAAGUAGUAUAGUAAAAUUCCAAGAUGGUUGAAACACAAUUAGUUCAUUCUAAGUCUUGCAUAAAGCAAAGCCACAGGCUAGCAUAUCACCUCUUCCUUUUCUUAUUUCCUGGCGCCCCACCUUUGUCGAAGCCCCUAAAAUUGUCAGCAGUAUCUGCUGUGUUCUGCUUCUUCAAGCCUUUCCUCCCACCAAAUCCAAAUUUGGAGUUCCUUGCUUCCCUUUUCAUCUGUUGCUUCUCCAGUCUUUUUUUGCCUCCCUUUUUCCAAUCUUGUUUUGCUUUCCCUCCAGACCGAUCUCCUGGAGAUACCCCUGGCCUCUUCUUGCUUGGCCUUUCAAAUACGUUCCCAUCCUCAAAGGACAAAUUCAUUUCACCAUCUUUAUCGCCUCUGGCAAAACCACUUUGCUGCCUUUGCUUCCUCCACUUCUUAACAGUCUCUAUGUCCAUUUUCUUCUGCAUAGCUCUCUCUUUCAGUUUUUGCGUCUGAACCUCUUUAGCAAGCCUCUUUGCUUCUCUAGCCUUCCUUCUUUCCUCAGACUCUUCAAUGUUUCUCUUCUCAGCCAAAAGCCGACCCUUCACCUUCUCCAUGUGAGCAUCUGAUUUCACCAUUUCAGCAUAAUAAUCAGGAGGCCUCAGAAAAGGAAGCCCCAUUGACUCAAGCUUCUCAAAGGCCUGCCUUGUUCCCCCCAAUGCUUGUGUGUAAAAAGCCAACUCUCGUGCCAGGUCAUCAUUCACAUCCACUUCUUGUUCUUGAUCAAUGUCAACAGAAAGCUUGUGUAUCCAUCCCACAUCUUCUGGCCAGCUAAUAUCUUGAAGUUUGUCAUUGAGACCAUCUCUGUUGUAUAUGGCAUUCUGUGAAGGUAUAGACAACUUUGCAUCUUCUUCCUCUGAUUCGGACUCAGAUUCAUAUGCCAUAUCAUCCAUUUCAUUAUCUUGCAAAGGCUUCUCAUCAUACAGGCUCAAAUCUUUAUCUGUUGUCCCCAUUAAAUAAACCUUUCUUUUUUACGUGUGUCCUCUCAAAACUCAAAACCCUUGCAAACCCUAGAGAGCAAUUUCUAGAGCGAUCUAGCGAUGCUAAAUUGCUAAAUGAUACUAUGAAGGGUAUAAAAAUUGGGCCAAGGCUGGGCCGUUCGUGAUUCUGACUUCGGAGCCUCAUAUCAGAUUCUGU
This 1579-nucleotide unclassified non-coding RNA is filed under the name Hevea brasiliensis (rubber tree). The record is from RNAcentral. Lineage: Eukaryota; Viridiplantae; Streptophyta; Magnoliopsida; Malpighiales; Euphorbiaceae.